Coturnix japonica (Japanese quail) is the source of this 205-nucleotide non-coding RNA. The record is from RefSeq and is a predicted model, not a curated record. NCBI's taxonomy places the organism in Eukaryota, Metazoa, Chordata, Aves, Galliformes, Phasianidae.
ACUGGGGGGUUCCUGCCUUUUAGCUCUGAUGGCAUUCAGCCAGCUUUCAGUUCUCCACGGUGCGGGGAACAACCAGGGCUUUUCGGGCAGUGCGGAGCAGCAGAUGGUGGGCAGAGCUUCCAGCACCCUAUUGCUGAAGGACCUCACUGAAGCACUGAAUCUCCUUACUCUCUGGUUCUAAACUUCUGCUCCGAGGCAAACAAGG